CGGGGGAGUCUACCUAGAAGGAGGGGAUAGCUACUGGAAAUCGGGGGUAAUACCGCAUAAUCCGUUGAGGACUAAACUCAAUCGCUAUUAGAUGAGCCUAUGUUAGAUUAGCUAGUUGGUAGGGUAAAGGCCUACCAAGGCAGUGAUCUAUAGCUGGUCUGAGAGGAUGAUCAGCCACACUGGAACUGAGAUACGGUCCAGACUCCUACGGGAGGCAGCAGUGGGGAAUAUUGGACAAUGGGCGCAAGCCUGAUCCAGCUAUGCCGCGUGAGUGAGGAAGGCCUUAGGGUUGUAAAACUCUUUCAGUGGGGAAGAUAAUGACGGUACCCACAGAAGAAGUCCCGGCAAACUCCGUGCCAGCAGCCGCGGUAAUACGGAGGGGGCAAGCGUUGUUCGGAAUUAUUGGGCGUAAAGGGCAUGUAGGCGGUUCGGUAAGUUAAAGGUGAAAUGCCAGGGCUUAACCCUGGAGCUGCUUUUAAUACUGCCAGACUCGAGUCCGGGAGAGGAUAGCGGAAUUCCUAGUG
This 524-nucleotide ribosomal RNA is filed under the name uncultured Anaplasma sp. Its description in RNAcentral is "bacterial SSU rRNA". It matches the Rfam family "Bacterial small subunit ribosomal RNA", at positions 116 to 675 of the family's 1533-position model. The record is from RNAcentral. Lineage: Bacteria; Pseudomonadati; Pseudomonadota; Alphaproteobacteria; Rickettsiales; Anaplasmataceae.